GUGUCUUAUAGAGAAUUUGGACCAACUAUAUCACACAAUUUCGUGGAGAUUAUAUGCUCGGCUCCCUCUCUAAAGGAGGUUAGACUUUUUAAAGCAUCCAUCCACAGUGACUUUUACGCAGUUCUUGCUAAAGAAGGAAACAAGUCCAAGGUCGAAAUCCUCAAGCUACUUAAUGUUAGGUGUCAAACACCAGCCUCUUCACAUCACCUAGCAGAGGCUUUGGGCUCCAUGCCAAGCCUGACUAACCUGACACUAAGUGGAAAGGAUUUAAAGGAGGAGUUCUAUUCUACACUGAAUGCAAAGGCGUCAACCAUGCAGCUCCUAACUCUCCAACUUCAACAUGUUGGCUGCCCAACAUCAGCCUCUUCACAUCACCUAGCAUCAGCGUUGUGCUCCAUGCCAAGCCUGACUGACCUGACACUACAGGGAAAGGAUUUCCAGGAGGAGUUCUUUUCUACACUGAAUGCGAAGGCAUCAACC
Long non-coding RNA from Strongylocentrotus purpuratus (purple sea urchin), 480 nucleotides. RefSeq lists it as uncharacterized. The transcript is spliced from 3 exons. The record is from RefSeq and is a predicted model, not a curated record. Lineage: Eukaryota; Metazoa; Echinodermata; Echinoidea; Camarodonta; Strongylocentrotidae.